Molecule: non-coding RNA, 6581 nt
Organism: Delphinapterus leucas (beluga whale)
Lineage: Eukaryota; Metazoa; Chordata; Mammalia; Artiodactyla; Monodontidae
Source: RefSeq, a predicted model, not a curated record
CCACAGGGGCAGCCCCGCCAUAGCUGCUCUUGGGCAGGGCGGCCCUCGAGGGUCCCACGGGGGCAUGAGGGUGGGAACUGGCCUCCAGUUGGCCCAAGUGGGCCACAUAGCCAUCUGACAGGAACUGCGGGCAGAGGUGGGCAGGGAUGAGGGGAUGGCUGGUCUCAGGCCCACACGCUGCCCUUAACUGUCCUCCCCAGGGUCCUGGGCAGUGCUGGCUGCAUUAUAGGCCUGGCACAGCCUGACCAACCCCAGGCUGAGCCAGGGCACCUUUAUUCCUGGCUCUGCCUCUCUCUGGGUCUCAUCUUGAGUUUCCUCGUCUGUAGAAUGGGAUUUUGGAGGGAAACAACAGCAACUAACGUUUAGCAAGCACUUGCUUUGCGCCCAGCCCCGUGCACGCUGAUAUGCACUAAAUCACGUGCUCUUCAUGAUAGCUGUUGAGGUCUGGUCCAUCUUAUCAUUUCCAUUUUGCAGACGAGAAAUUGAGGCUCAGAAAGGUCAAGGCCUAUGCCCAGGACCGUGCCAAAGUGGAACCAGUACUCAAGGUCUUGAGCAUAUUAUCAAUCCUGGCCUGCCCAGCACCUCCAAGCUGCUUGUGACCCCCAUCCUAGGAGGAGCCCAGGUUCCCUGAUGCCAGCCAUCCUUCUCACAGCCGCCUGCCUUAGGUGCUUAACACAUGGGUGGUCCUUCCGGCCCAGACCCAGGCUCCCACUCCCCAGCUGGCUCGCAGUCCCCACCUUCACUUGGUCCUCACCUGGCACUGCGCCUGGAGCUUCCGCACGGCGCGGCCCACGAUGUAGGUCUGGCCCGGGGGUAGGCCCAGCGCCGCAUAUACGGCCACGUCUUUGGGGGACCCGUAGCCGGCCACGAUGUUCAGUUCCACCUGUGGCCAGAGAGGCCAAUCAGCAGCCCCGGGGGGCGGAGUCGUGAGGCAGGGGGUGGGGUCUGGUGGGCAUCCGGUUCAGAAUGUUUCGGGUCGAGGCCAUAUGGUCUACCUCACCAGGUCCGGGUGGGGUCGGGACCAGCCGUAUCUCUCUAGUUGGCCCCAAGGACCGUAUCUCUCUAGUUGGCCCCUGGGACCACGAGGGCCUUGGCGGUCUGUUAGGUUCGGGGGCCGAUGGGGGUGAGACCAGAUGGGCCUCCUCCCGGGGCGACGGCGGGGACGGGACCCUCCCCAGUCGCCGCACCUCCUGCACCAGGCUCUGCAGAAACACCGCCUUCUGGCGCAGCGGGUCGUGGGUGAGGCCAUCGCAGAAGGAGACUACGCCGUGGGGGAAGUUGUGCUGUGACAGCCAGGCCACCACGCGGUGCUUCUGCAUGUCGGGCCGGCCCGUUACGUACACGAUCAGGUAGCCCGCGUCCUGCCAGUGCCUGCAGGGUGGGGCGGCGGGUCAGCUCCACGCGCCAGGGGUGGAGACCAGUCACCACGGCGAGCCAGGCGGCCGCUCCUACCUGACCACGUCCACGGCGCCGGCGCGCACCUUGGGGUCGCUGCCCAUGAUGGAGACGCUGGCGGUGAAGGAGCCGUCGAUGCUGAACACCACGGCCUCCGUGCUGCGGGCCACGACCGUCAGGCAGCACUCAGCGUACGUGUGGUCGCCCCUACGGCCCAAGGGCUGCUUGAGCGACAUAGGGGCGGGGUCCAGAGGAGCCCCACCCCGCAGAGGCCCGGCCCACCCCGCGCUCACCUGACCACCAUGCGCACCGGGUAAACGCCAAUACCCAGCGCACGCUCCACGGGCACCGGGAAGGUGAGGCGGCCCGAGCUGUUGGUGACCUCGGUGCCAAAGUGAAUCCACUUGCCUGACAGCGGCUGCGUCAUGAUGUAGAUGUCCACCUAGCAGGCAGAGGGGGCGAGAGGGUCCCCCUGACGCUGAGCGGAGGAGGGCCGAGGCAGGCCUGUUGUUGGGGGAGGACGGGGUUGGGGGCUCAACCUAGUGUGACUGGGAGCUAUCCGUGGGACAGGAGGCAGCACCCGGACCUCCCGCUUGGGGCGAGUUUGCCCGAGGGCGGCCGGUCUACCCGGGACUGAGGCCUCUGUGUCCUGACCUUCUCUCCGGUGAGCGUGACCACGUCCAAGGGCCCGUACAUGAAGCGCCCGUUCAGCACCUGGGGGCGGCCCUCGCACACCACCGUGUCGCUCGCCCGGUGGUUGGAAGUGACGUUCUGGUGGAAGGAGACGGCGUGAGCCCGCAGCAAAGAGGCCGGGCUGUAGAUGGACGGCUCCUCGCACUCGGCCAGCUGUGGCUGCUCCUUCUCCAUCACCUGCGAAGAAUCGGACCAGCAAGGCCACGUGAAGGGGGGAAGGGUGCCUGGGGCUGCCCCUCCCCCAGCCCACGGCUCCCUAUCAUUGGCCGGUUCCCUCUCCCACCCCGCAUCCCUGGGCCCACCUGGCGCAGGAUGAAGGCCACCACAUCCGCCGACUCCCAGUAGCUGGCGUGGAAGAGGUGGGGCAGCGAGACGGUGGGGAAGGCGGUGAGCGCCUCAGGGCAGUACAACGAGUAGUCAAUCCGCUUGGUCCCCCACCAGCGCUCCAGGACUGUACGGCCACGGUGGGCAGUGAGUCAGGGGUGGCCUCCCACCCCAUGCCCACCCGUCUGGCCCCUAAUGCUCUUCCCUCCCUCUUUUCUGCCAACCCUGCUGAGUCUGGAGUUGGGUGCUAGGGCACACUCAUUCCAGAGCAAAUGCUUGGGGCAAGGAUGUUUCAGCUGGGCUUUGAAGAUGGAAUAAGUAUUCCCUCCCCAGGCUGGGUGGCUGGCUGACUUACUCUUAACCACCUCACUGGUGGUGCUGGGGGCAGCUGGCUGGGCUGGCAGAUCACUGCCUAGCUCACUGCCCUUCCAGAAGGCUCCGCUGGUAGAGGUGGGUGUUGAGGGCACCAACAUCUCCAGCUCCUCCAGAAAGAGGCCUGAGUGGGUCUGCAGAGUGUCAGCUGUGGGUGGACGGGCGACCUCAGUGGCGGGCUGGGCCAGGCCACCCUCCUGUCUUCCCACCAAGGUUCCAGGACAGCCUGGCCCCCAUCCCUCCACCAUCUCCCCUGCCAGCCCUCCCUGGUUGGGUCUUGGCUGAGGCUGAAGUGCCCCACAUCUGGGUGGAGGUGAAGGGUGGGGGCAUCCUCUCCUGUUAGCUCACCCCAACAGCCAGCUGCAUUCCUGCCAGCAUGACUGCCGCCACCACCUGGACCCAGGCCCACGUGUCUCAUGGGGCCAAAUGGCUACUCACUUGCAUGCACGUGAGUACACACCCCAAACCAAUACACGAACACAGGUGCAUGCGGAGACACAAUGCAUCCCUACACACAGACACUGCAGCCCCUCUCCCCGCCGGUGGUGGGCGGCUGCUCUCAGUGUCACCACCUCCUCCCUUCAGCCCAGUUGUCACCACUGCCCCCAACUUCUGGGCAGAGAAUGUUAGAGGGUCUUGGGGAUCCAGACUGCCCAAGGGGCCAGGGGAGGGCUCCCUGGUCCUGGGAGUGGUGACAUGAGAGAGUACCAAUGAUGUGGGAACUACCUCAUGUCUUCUUGGGAGAGGGGGGCCCACACCCAUCCCUCACUGUUGGUGCCGUCCUCUUUCUCCCCUUUAUCUUGGUUGGCGGCAUACCCAGCAGCAGGGAUGAGCCGUCUCCCAGGGGGAACUUCUGGUAGCGCGGCACAGCCAGUGGGGCGAUGGCCUGGAACUUGGGGGCCAGCAGGGGCUCAAGGCGGGAGGCGCAGGGGUCGGCCGCAUGGAAGAGGUUGUAGAUCUGCUCACAGGCUGGCCGCAUCUGGGCCACUGGUACCCAGAAGAUAAAGGGGGGAGGGGAUUCAUCUGGGCAUACUGGGAGGCAGGGGUUGUGGGAAGCAGCACCCUGACAUGCUGUGUGACCCUGAACCAGCACUUCCCAGACUCUACUCCCUGGGAGGUCCCUGGGAGUGCUUAAAAGUGAGACAGGUCUCUCGGCUAAAAAGAGAUCAGAGCCUUCGAUUUGCUGAUGUUCAAGACGAAGCGUUCCCCAUGCCUGUUGGACCCCCUCUCAUGAAAGCAUCUGUGGAGCCAGCACCAGGCCCAGAGGGGAGCCAAAGAGGAAGAAGCCGGAGACCUUGAAGUCAAGGCGGGUGGCACUGGUCUCGGGUGCUGACCGUGGGCAUCAAAGAACUCCUCCUCAGAGCUGUUCUCAGAGUCUCGGGCGAUGUUCUGCAUGCGCCACUCGGACAGAGUCUGGGGAGACACGCCCCCUGCAGGGCCACAUUGGCCUCAGCCUGGGAGUUCAGCCUGAGGGCCGCUCCCUCCUGCCCCUGUGCCUCAGCCUCACCUCCAUGCUGGGACGAGUAGGAGGAACGGGAGGACGAGGACCACUGCUUGCCGAAGCUGGCAUCAGGCGAGGCAUCGGGGCCUGGGGGCACCUCGGGCCCAUCGGGGGCGCCAGCACGGCUGGCCCCAGCCCGGGCCUCAGUGCUUGGCUUCCCGGGGGGCUGGGCCUCGGGCCCCUCACUGCCUGUGUUGCACUUGGCCAUGCGCUGUGCCAGCAUGCGGGCGGUCUCUUCCUCCAGUGCCCGGAUGUCAGCCAUGCUCAGCUCUGUCCACUCGUCCUGCCAGCACCAGGCCUGGCGGUGGGCCCGCAGCAUCACCCGACGCAGGCCUGCAGGCGCCCGGGCGUCAAAGCCAUGCCCUCCCCACCCACACGCCCCAGCCCCGAGUUUCCCUGCCACUGCAGCCACAUGCCCAGCCCAUGAGUUCAGGGAAUGGCUCCCCUGGGCACACCACCCACCCAGGGCCACAAAGUAGGGCAGGGUGAGCACUGUCCGGGAGACGGGAGUGGAAACUGGGGCAUUUGUCUUCCUGCCCCACCUCCGUCCCUGCCCACUUCCUCUUUUAUCCCUCUGGACACCCCAACUCUGAGCGCUGAGCCCACCCCGACACCCCGGGAAGCUGGGAGCAAUGUUUGUUCUUGCUUCUGUCAGCUGGCUUCCUGCUGAUUUCUUCACAAGAGUUAACAAUUAAGGCGUCGAUAGUUAAUGAAAUUGUUGAUGGUUAAUGAAGGCGUUAAGAGUUAAUGGAAGUGUUGGCACUUAAUGAAGCAAAACGUGAUACCCGUUCUGGGACAGUUCCAUCCUAAGCAGUGGACUAAAGUUAGAGACUCCAACGUCUAGGAGAUAACGUCAUCAUGACUGAAUUACUGUGACAAACUUCUGGAAGGAGAUACACCAGAAUCUUAAUAGUGGUUACAUGUGGAAGGGAAAAUUAAGGCACAGAGAUGGGAAGUAUCUCCCUGGAGGAGAGUUUCCAUGAGGGUCCGUGGUGGGAUGGAACCCAGGUCCCUGGACACCCCCAUCCUUCUACCUGCAGGUAGUCUACCCUCAGACCUGGGAGGUGGGGCAGGGCUGAGCCACAGGAACUGUGGGGUUAGUUUUAGGGGGGGCAUGAAACAGGGCCUCCUGGAUAACAGGGCCAAAGGAUGGGACUCGGAGAGAGCGACAGAGUCACAGCUUUGGCCUGCACUCCUUAGCGUGUUGCAGGUUAGAGCUGGGGACCCUCCUGAGAGCCUCUAAGUCUCGCUUGACCCACAGAACACUGGAGAGUCUUAGAAUUUUAAUGGAUGAGAAGCAGCAUCUCUGAAUGUCAGAACCGGCAUGGACCUCAGAGAUCACGUUGUCAGCUUCUUGCCCGCCUGACUCUCACCUGUACCUCAAGGCUAGGCUCCCCCAACCCCUAGCUAGGCUGUGCGGCUCCCCUCUGCCUCAGUGCCCACCACAUCAAACGGAAAUGACGGCUUUAUGUUUCUGUGUCCCCAGUAGACUGGGAGCAUCCCUGGCUCAAACGCGCGGCCUGGUGCAUGCCGAGUAAAUAGAACCUCGCGAGGCUGGGCGCUCACCGACAUCGUGGAUGAACUGCUCAAUCUUGGCCUGCAUGCCCCAGUAGCGGAACUCAACCUUGCACAGCUUAUAGGCGCACAUGAGGGGCCCCGUCUGGGCUGCUGUGCGUGCCCAGUCAUCAGCCAGCGGUCCUCGGCCUGUCUUGGCCGAGCGGUACAGCCGGGGGUCUUCUUCCGCUUUGUACUCGCCUGGGGCCACUGCAUCCCGCACGAUGUCGAUGGUAUCUGGGGGGGUUCCGGCAGCGCUGAGCAACAGCAGCCCCCUCUGGCCCCUGCCACUCCUCCCCCACCUCGGGAUUGGGGGGGCAACUUUCCAUGCACAGGAAGCCUAGACCGGGAGAGAGCCUGGGACUUGUCAGAGGCCGCCUGUUGAGGUGGCAGGUGUCCUGAGAGGGGCUCCACGGUCCCCCCGCUGGCUCCAGGCCUCACCCAGGAUGCGCUGUCUCCGCUCAGCCCCACUCAGGUUGAAGACAUUCGGCUGCUGCCCCCCAUCAGGCAGGUAAUAGGUCUCUAUUUCAAUGGAGAAUUUCUCCACAAAGGGGCAGGUGUACCUGGGCAGAGGGUGGGGUGAGGGUCACGGCUGUGCCCACCAAGUCUGUUCCCCUCCUGGCCCCAGACCUGCCCCACCCACUCACCGGGUGCGGGUGUAGGGAUAGGCAUUCCAGGAUUCCUCCUCCACCUGCAGGGCGGCCUUGGGCAGCAGUGCCCGGAACCAGCCUGGGAUGUGGGA